Rhineura floridana is the source of this 257-nucleotide long non-coding RNA. RefSeq lists it as uncharacterized. The record is from RefSeq and is a predicted model, not a curated record. The transcript has 3 exons. NCBI's taxonomy places the organism in Eukaryota, Metazoa, Chordata, Lepidosauria, Squamata, Rhineuridae.
AGAAGAGAGGAGAAACCCCCACUGCUGCUGCCAUGAGAGACCCCAUGAAACGUGAUUGAAGGUAGCAAUGAUGCAAGAGUUUUGCGAGGGGAACCAACCUAAGAGAGGAAGACAGCAUAAGAGCCUGUGGUCAUGAGAAAAGAAUGAGAAAGAAGGCAGAACAGGAAGAAGAUGGUUGCCUGCUGAAUGCAUGCAAGCUGUCAGGCACUGCAGCAGCCAGAAUGGAGCAACUGACAGUUCUUCCAGAGCUACCUGCA